AGAUGGUUGCAGCAGUAACUGGCAAUUCAUCAGUGUCCUUCUGGCUGGAGUAUAGGUUAUAUCCUGGUAUGUUGGGAACUCUAGAAAGAGCAUCAGCUCCAAGACCUGUGUCGCUGGCAUCAGUGUGCACCAUGAAGGGUAACUGGAGGUUUGGAUGACUCAGGAUGGGAGGUGAAGUAAGGUGAGUUUUUAAUUGUUCAAAGGCUUCUUGGCAUUGUGGGGUCCAGUGAAACGAGUGCCCUUUUUUCUUUAGUGCAUUUAUGGGUUCAGCAAUUUGAGAAAAAUUAGGAACAAAGCGGUGGUACCAACCGGCUAGUCCCAGGAAGCGCUGGACCUCUUUGAUGUCUCGUGGCACAGGGUUGAUAGUCAGUCCAGCCUCCUGAAGCUUAAGAAGGACUGAUCGGAGAUCGUUGAAGUGCUGAGUAGAGGUCUUCACGGGUCCAAAAAUUUGUGCCCGAACCCGACAGAGACCCGUAAUGUACUACACCGAACCGACCCGGACCCGUCUAUUAUUUCAAAAGCUGGACCCGGACCCGU
This is a long non-coding RNA of Carassius gibelio (silver crucian carp), 537 nucleotides long. RefSeq lists it as uncharacterized. Lineage: Eukaryota; Metazoa; Chordata; Actinopteri; Cypriniformes; Cyprinidae. The transcript has 3 exons. The record is from RefSeq and is a predicted model, not a curated record.